Molecule: ribosomal RNA, 367 nt
Filed under: uncultured organism
Description: bacterial SSU rRNA
Rfam family: Bacterial small subunit ribosomal RNA
Source: RNAcentral
CGGAGGAUCCAAGCGUUAUCCGGAAUCAUUGGGUUUAAAGGGUCCGUAGGCGGCUUUAUAAGUCAGUGGUGAAAUCCGGCAGCUCAACUGUCGAAUUGCCAUUGAUACUGUAGGGCUUGAAUUAUUGUGAAGUAACUAGAAUAUGUAGUGUAGCGGUGAAAUGCUUAGAUAUUACAUGGAAUACCAAUUGCGAAGGCAGGCUACUAACAAUAGAUUGACGCUGAUGGACGAAAGCGUGGGGAGCGAACAGGAUUAGAUACCCUGGUAGUCCACGCCGUAAACGAUGGAUACUAGCUGUUGACUGCAAGGUUAAGUGGCUAAGCGAAAGUGAUAAGUAUCCCACUGGGGAGUACGGGCGCAAGCCUAG